CGAUAAUCUGCCUUACAGUCUGGGAUACCCUCGGGAAACUGAGGUUAAUACCGGAUAGGGAAUUUGUGCUGGAAUGCUAUUUUCCUUAAAAGUAAUGCUGUAAGAUGAGUCGGCGGCUGAUUAGGCUGUUGGUGAGGUAAAGGCUCACCAAACCUAUGAUCAGUAGGGGGAGUGAGAGCUCUAGCCCCGAGAAGGACACUGAGAUAAGGGUCCUAGCCCUAAGGGGUGCAGCAGGCGCGAAAACUUUACAAUGCACGAAAGUGUGAUAAGGGGAACCCAAGUGCUAACCUUUGGUUGGCUUUUGCCAAGUUUAAAUAUCUUGGCGAAUAAGGGAUGGGCAAGACCGGUGCCAGCCGCCGCGGUAACCCCGGCGUCCCGAGUGGUAAUCAUAUUUAUUGGGUCUAAAGCAUCCGUAGCAGAUUUAGUUAGUCCUUUGUGAAAUUGUUUGGCCUAACCAAACAGAUUGCAAGGGAUACUACUAGGUUAGAGACCGGUAGGGGACAGAAGUAUCCAUUGGGAAACGGUAAAAUGUGAUAAUCCUUUGGAGACUACCAGUGGCGAAGGCGUCUGUCCAGAACGGAUCUGACUGUGAGGGAUGAAAGCCAGGGGAGCGAACCGGAUUAGAUACCCGAGUAGUCCUGGCCGUAAACGCUGUGAACUAGGUGUUGCAUAUCUCACGUGGAUGUGCAGUGCCGUAGCGAAGGUGUUAAGUUCACCACCUGGGAAGUACGGUCGCAAGGCUGAAACUUAAAGGAAUUGGCGGGGGCGCGCUCCAACCGGUGGAACGUGUGGUUCAAUUUGAUUCUACGCGGGAAACCUCACCAGGGGCGACGGCAGAAUGAAGGUCAGAUUAAAGGUCUUACCUAACGAGCCGAGAGAUGGUGCAUGGCCGCCGUCAGUUCGUGUCGUAAGAUGUACUGCUAAGCCAGUUAACGAACAAGACCUACGCACACAGUUGCUACCGAGUUCUUCGGAAUGAUCGGGCACACUGUGUGGACUGCUCGCGUAAGUGAGAGGAAGGUGUAGACAACGGUAGGUCAGUAUGCCUCGAAUCUCCUGGGCCACACACGCGUUAUAAUGGGAAGGACAAUGGGCUGCAACUCCGAAAGGAGAAGCCAAUCCUCGAAACCUUUCCUCAGUUCAGAUUGAGGGUUGCAAUUCACCCUCAUGAAGCCAGAAUCGGUAGUAAUCGGAUGUCAACAGCGUCCGGUGAAUGCGGCAACGCGCC
Molecule: ribosomal RNA, 1228 nt
Filed under: uncultured archaeon
Lineage: Archaea
Description: bacterial SSU rRNA
Rfam family: Archaeal small subunit ribosomal RNA
Source: RNAcentral